RNAcentral lists this ribosomal RNA (497 nucleotides) under uncultured bacterium. Its description in RNAcentral is "partial 16S ribosomal RNA". It matches the Rfam family "Bacterial small subunit ribosomal RNA", at positions 28 to 507 of the family's 1533-position model. The record is from RNAcentral.
GAUGAACGCUGGCGGCGUGCCUAAUACAUGCAAGUCGAGCGAACAGACGAGAAGCUUGCUUUUCUGAUGUUAGCGGCGGACGGGUGAGUAACACGUGGAUAACCUACCUAUAAGACUGGGAUAACUUCGGGAAACCGGAGCUAAUACCGGAUAAUAUAUUGAACCGCAUGGUUCAAAAGUGAAAGACGGUCUUGCUGUCACUUAUAGAUGGAUCCGCGCUGCAUUAGCUAGUUGGUAAGGUAACGGCUUACCAAGGCAACGAUGCGUAGCCGACCUGAGAGGGUGAUCGGCCACACUGGAACUGAGACACGGUCCAGACUCCUACGGGAGGCAGCAGUAGGGAAUCUUCCGCAAUGGGCGAAAGCCUGACGGAGCAACGCCGCGUGAGUGAUGAAGGUCUUCGGAUCGUAAAACUCUGUUAUUAGGGAAGAACAUAUGUGUAAGUAACUGUGCACAUCUUGACGGUACCUAAUCAGAAAGCCACGGCUAACUACGUG